UGGGGAAUAUUGGACAAUGGGCGCAAGCCUGAUCCAGCCAUACCGCGUGGGUGAAGAAGGCCUUCGGGUUGUAAAGCCCUUUUGUUGGGAAAGAAAUCCAGCCGGCUAAUACCUGGUUGGGAUGACGGUACCCAAAGAAUAAGCACCGGCUAACUUCGUGCCAGCAGCCGCGGUAAUACGAAGGGUGCAAGCGUUACUCGGAAUUACUGGGCGUAAAGCGUGCGUAGGUGGUCGUUUAAGUCCGUUGUGAAAGCCCUGGGCUCAACCUGGGAACUGCAGUGGAUACUGGGCGACUAGAGUGUGGUAGAGGGUAGCGGAAUUCCUGGUGUAGCAGUGAAAUGCGUAGAGAUCAGGAGGAACAUCCAUGGCGAAGGCAGCUACCUGGACCAACACUGACACUGAGGCACGAAAGCGUGGGGAGCAAACAGGAUUAGAUACCCUGGUAGUCCACGCCCUAAACGAUGCGAACUGGAUGUUGGGUGCAAUUUGGCACGCAGUAUCGAAGCUAACGCGUUAAGUUCGCCGCCUGGGAGUACGGUCGCAAGACUGAAACUCAAAUGAAUUGAC
This 567-nucleotide ribosomal RNA is filed under the name uncultured bacterium. RNAcentral describes it as "bacterial SSU rRNA". It matches the Rfam family "Bacterial small subunit ribosomal RNA", at positions 355 to 914 of the family's 1533-position model. The record is from RNAcentral.